UACAGAGGAGCCAAGCGUUGUCCGGAUUGACUGGGCGUAAAGCGCACGCAGGCGGCCGCGCGCGUGGGGUGUGAAAUCUGGCCGCUUAACGGCCAGGCGCCAUCCCAUACGGCGCGUCUGGAGUGAUGCAGAGGUCGAUGGAAUUGCCGGUGUAGUGGUGAAAUGCGUAGAGAUCGGCAGGAACACCCAGGGGGAAACCAGGCGACUGGGCAUCUACUGACGCUGAGGUGCGAGAGCGUGGGGAGCGAACCGG
RNAcentral lists this ribosomal RNA (253 nucleotides) under uncultured bacterium. Its description in RNAcentral is "partial 16S ribosomal RNA". It matches the Rfam family "Bacterial small subunit ribosomal RNA", at positions 524 to 776 of the family's 1533-position model. The record is from RNAcentral.